This 254-nucleotide ribosomal RNA is filed under the name uncultured bacterium. RNAcentral describes it as "partial 16S ribosomal RNA". It matches the Rfam family "Bacterial small subunit ribosomal RNA", at positions 524 to 777 of the family's 1533-position model. The record is from RNAcentral.
UACAGGGGGUGCAAACGUUGCUCGGAAUUAUUGGGCGUAAAGCGCGCGUAGGCGGCUACUUAAGUCGGAUGUGAAAGCCCUUGGCUCAACUGAGGAAGUGCACCCGAAACUGAGUGGCUAGAGUACGAAAGAGGGUCGCGGAAUUCCCGGUGUAGAGGUGAAAUGCGCAGAUAUCGGGAGGAACACCAGUGGCGAAGGCGGCACUCUGGGCCGGUACUGACGCUGAGGAGCGAAAGCGUGGGGAGCGAACAGGA